RNAcentral lists this ribosomal RNA (495 nucleotides) under uncultured bacterium. RNAcentral's name for it is "partial 16S ribosomal RNA". It matches the Rfam family "Bacterial small subunit ribosomal RNA", at positions 28 to 507 of the family's 1533-position model. The record is from RNAcentral.
GACGAACGCUGGCGGCGUGCCUAAUACAUGCAAGUAGAACGCUGAAGGAGGAGCUUGCUUCUCUGGAUGAGUUGCGAACGGGUGAGUAACGCGUAGGUAACCUGCCUGGUAGCGGGGGAUAACUAUUGGAAACGAUAGCUAGUACCGCAUAAUAGUAGAUGUUGCAUGACAUUUGCUUAAAAGGUGCAAUUGCAUCACUACCAGAUGGACCUGCGUUGUAUUAGCUAGUUGGUGGGGUAACGGCUCACCAAGGCGACGAUACAUAGCCGACCUGAGAGGGUGAUCGGCCACACUGGGACUGAGACACGGCCCAGACUCCUACGGGAGGCAGCAGUAGGGAAUCUUCGGCAAUGGACGGAAGUCUGACCGAGCAACGCCGCGUGAGUGAAGAAGGUUUUCGGAUCGUAAAGCUCUGUUGUAAGAGAAGAACGAGUGUGAGAGUGGAAAGUUCACACUGUGACGGUAUCUUACCAGAAAGGGACGGCUAACUACGUG